This 363-nucleotide transfer RNA is filed under the name uncultured Microcystis sp. Its description in RNAcentral is "partial 16S-23S ribosomal RNA intergenic spacer". The stretch from base 135 to 208 matches the Rfam family "tRNA". Lineage: Bacteria; Bacillati; Cyanobacteriota; Cyanophyceae; Chroococcales; Microcystaceae. The record is from RNAcentral.
AAGGGAGACCUAAUUCAGGUAGGAGACGAAAAAAAAGUAGUCGCUACCAAGAAUCAAUCCCAAAAGGUCGGAGCGAGGCGAAAUUGGCUUUCAAACUAGGUUCUGGGUUCACACAAGACCUGAAUCAGGAACAAGGGCUAUUAGCUCAGGUGGUUAGAGCGCACCCCUGAUAAGGGUGAGGUCCCUGGUUCGAGUCCAGGAUGGCCCACCUGUACAGGUGGCAAAAAGAAAGAAAAGAAGCGAGGAAUCAGCACCUUAUCUUACUGACAUAGUAAGAGAGAAUGCUGGCUCUGAGUAAAGAGUCCAGAGGAACCUUGAAAACUGCAUAGAGCUAGGUGAAAAAGCCAAAAAGGAAGACCGCAA